AGGGCACCACCAGGAGUGGAGCCUGCGGCUUAAUUUGACUCAACAUGGGAAAACUCACCCGGCCCGGACACCGUAAGGAUUGACAGAUUGAGAGCUCUUUCUUGAUUCGGUGGUUGGUGGUGCAUGGCCGUUCUUAGUUGGUGGAGCGAUUUGUCUGGUUUAUUCCGAUAACGAGCGAGACUCUAGCCUACUAAAUAGUGACCGGAUAGCUUCGUCCGGGUCACUUCUUAGAGGGACAAGCGGUGUUCAGCCGCAAUAAGUUGAGCAAUAACAGGUCUGUGAUGCCCUUAGAUGUCCGGGGCUGCACGCGCGCUACACUGGAGGAAUCAGCGUGCUUGACCCAUUGCCGAAAGGCAUUGGUAAACCCUUGAAAAUCCUCCGUGAUCGGGAUCGGGAAUUGCAAUUAUUUCCCUUGAACGAGGAAUUCCCAGUAAGUGUGAGUCAUCAGCUCACGUUGAUUACGUCCCUGCCCUUUGUACACACCGCCCGUCGCUGCCCGGGACUGAGCCGUUUCGAGAA
This 519-nucleotide ribosomal RNA is filed under the name uncultured eukaryote. RNAcentral describes it as "SSU rRNA". It matches the Rfam family "Eukaryotic small subunit ribosomal RNA", at positions 1161 to 1705 of the family's 1831-position model. The record is from RNAcentral.